Molecule: long non-coding RNA, 538 nt
Organism: Zerene cesonia (dogface butterfly)
Lineage: Eukaryota; Metazoa; Arthropoda; Insecta; Lepidoptera; Pieridae
Exons: 3
Source: RefSeq, a predicted model, not a curated record
GGAUGUUGUUGUGGAAUGCAAUGGUGUGGAUGAAGAGGAUGACCAGGAUGAUGAAGAGGGAUUGGACAUAAAUCCAAAACUGGGCUGCCGGGUUCAUUUUCCUAGUGACGUCAUGCGAGGAACGUAAGUGUAUGUAUGUAAUGGACGAUGAACACCGUAUAAUAAUGAAGAAUUUAACGUAUUAAAGUUUAAGUGUUAAAGGUAAUCUAUGUUUAUAUACUAUUUAUAAUUAUUUGUUUGUAGUAUGUACUUAUACAUGUGUAACUACUAAGUACUAUUGAUUUAUAACUCACAAUUCGAUCCUUUUAAACGAGGUGGUACGAAUUAUGGUAUAUGCAACUCUCUAUUGAUAAAAAACACAUAGAUAUAAUUCACGCGGUAAAUCACCCGGCUAUCGGCAUUUUUAUGAUAGGCAUAGAUAAAAAUGUGCUUAUUCGAAUAGUGUAGUGAUUGUAUGGAUAAUUUGACGUAUUAUUUGUAUAUCUAGAAGAAUUAGUCACGUUUUUUCGAUCGAAUCGGAUUGUAUUUGAUCAAUCGU